UAGGGAAUCUUCGGCAAUGGACGAAAGUCUGACCGAGCAACGCCGCGUGAGUGAAGAAGGUUUUCGGAUCGUAAAACUCUGUUGUUAGAGAAGAACAAGGACGUUAGUAACUGAACGUCCCCUGACGGUAUCUAACCAGAAAGCCACGGCUAACUACGUGCCAGCAGCCGCGGUAAUACGUAGGUGGCAAGCGUUGUCCGGAUUUAUUGGGCGUAAAGCGAGCGCAGGCGGUUUCUUAAGUCUGAUGUGAAAGCCCCCGGCUCAACCGGGGAGGGUCAUUGGAAACUGGGAGACUUGAGUGCAGAAGAGGAGAGUGGAAGUCCAUGUGUAGCGGUGAAAUGCGUAGAUAUAUGGAGGAACACCAGUGGCGAAGGCGGCUCUCUAGUCUGUAACUGACGCUGAAGCUCGAAAGCGUGGGGAGCAAACAGG
Molecule: ribosomal RNA, 429 nt
Filed under: Chloroflexota bacterium
Lineage: Bacteria; Bacillati; Chloroflexota
Description: Chloroflexi bacterium partial 16S ribosomal RNA
Rfam family: Bacterial small subunit ribosomal RNA
Source: RNAcentral